RNAcentral lists this ribosomal RNA (671 nucleotides) under uncultured bacterium. RNAcentral's name for it is "bacterial SSU rRNA". The stretch from base 1 to 569 matches the Rfam family "Bacterial small subunit ribosomal RNA", at positions 338 to 873 of the family's 1533-position model. The record is from RNAcentral.
CCUACGGGAGGCAGCAGUAAGGAAUAUUGGUCAAUGGACGAAAGUCUGAACCAGCCAUGCCGCGUGAAGGAUUAAGGCCCUCUGGGUUGUAAACUUCUUUUAUCUGGGACGAAAAAAGGGUAUUCUUACUCACUUGACGGUACCAGAGGAAUAAGCACCGGCUAACUCCGUGCCAGCAGCCGCGGUAAUACGGAGGGUGCAAGCGUUAUCCGGAUUUACUGGGUUUAAAGGGUGCGUAGGUGGGCUUGUAAGUCAGUGGUGAAAUCUCCGGGCUUAACCCGGAAACUGCCAUUGAUACUAUAGGUCUUGAAUUAUCUGGAGGUAAGCGGAAUAUGUCAUGUAGCGGUGAAAUGCUUAGAUAUGACAUAGAACACCAAUUGCGAAGGCAGCUUACUACGGAUAUAUUGACACUGAGGCACGAAAGCGUGGGGAUCAAACAGGAUUAGAUAACCCUGGUAGUCCACGCCUAAACGAAUGGAUAACUCGACAACUACANACGANACUACUACGUUAGGUUGGUUCGUUGUAGACGGAAAGGAACGAAUAAAGUUAAAUUACCUAACCCUACCGGUAAGGUAACGGUAAGUACGCGAACGAAGUAAGUAAACGUAACAAACGAAAAGUAAAGUAAGGACGAGAGAGAGACGACGACGACGACAAGGAGGAGGAGG